CACCUCUAGCAUUACAAGUAUUAGAGGCAUUGCCUGCCCAGUGACUGUAGUUAAACGGCCGCGGUAUCCUGACCGUGCAAAGGUAGCAUAAUCACUUGUUCCUUAAUUAGGGACUUGUAUGAACGGCUAAACGAGGGUCCAACUGUCUCUUAUUUUAAAUCAGUGAAAUUGACCUUCCAGUGAAGAGGCUGGAAUUUCUUAAUAAGACGAGAAGACCCUAUGGAGCUUAAAUUUAAACUUAUUUAUUUCCUUUAACUCACCUAAUGGAACAAAAACAAUAUUAUAAGCCUAAAAUUUUGGUUGGGGUGACCUCGGAGAACAGAAAAUCCUCCGAACGAUUAUAAUAACAUAGACCAACAAGUCAAAGUAACCCAUUUUCCAAUUGACCCAAAACUAUUUGAUCAACGGACCAAGUUACCCUAGGGAUAACAGCGCAAUCCUAUUUAAGAGUUCAUAUCGACAAUAGGGUUUACGACCUCGAUGUUGGAUCAGGACAUCCCAAUGGUGCAGAAGCUAUUAAUGGUUCGUUUGUUCAACG
RNAcentral lists this ribosomal RNA (538 nucleotides) under Praomys jacksoni. RNAcentral's name for it is "partial 16S ribosomal RNA". It matches the Rfam family "Bacterial large subunit ribosomal RNA", at positions 1816 to 2586 of the family's 2925-position model. Lineage: Eukaryota; Metazoa; Chordata; Mammalia; Rodentia; Muridae. The record is from RNAcentral.